AUUAAAACAACUGUGGAUG
Molecule: small nuclear RNA, 19 nt
Filed under: Arabidopsis thaliana (thale cress)
Lineage: Eukaryota; Viridiplantae; Streptophyta; Magnoliopsida; Brassicales; Brassicaceae
Description: snRNA_03131
Source: RNAcentral